Molecule: unclassified non-coding RNA, 147 nt
Filed under: uncultured Cenococcum
Lineage: Eukaryota; Fungi; Ascomycota; Dothideomycetes; Gloniales; Gloniaceae
Description: sequence contains ITS2
Source: RNAcentral
UAACCAUUCAAGCCUGGCUUGGUGUUGGGCGACGUCCCCUUUGGGGACGCGCCUCGAAACGCUCGGCGGCGUGGCACCGGCUUUAAGCGUAGCAGAAUCUUUCGCUUUGAAAGUCGGGGCCCCGUCUGCCGGAAGACCUACUCACAA